UUUUUUUUUCCUUCCAUUGAACCAAGUAGACAACCUUUAAACUAGUCUUUCGUCUGGUUGGUUACCACAGACGCUGCAGAGGAACUUUGACUGUGUGUGGAACUCCUUCACCAGCGUUAAAUUAGAAUGCAGGAACUUGAAUGAACUGGUACUUUGUUGUACUUUUCUUCAAAUGAGUAAACAAUUGUAAAAAUGGGGGUUGGUGGAAAGAAGCAUAUUUAAUGUCAGACCUCAGGACACACACACUCACACACACAGAGACACCCCUGUGUCUGUCUGUCAACUCUGUGCUCGUAAUCACAUCCUAUUCCCUGGCGUUCCCGUACACACAACCCCCUGCCUCGCUACACUGUGGAGGGAGAGAAAUGAGAGAUCCCUCCAAAUGCUCUCUAAGAUUAAGGCUUUGUGUUUUACAUGUGUUAUCGUUGCUUGCCUUCGUUAUCCCCCCCCCCCUUGCUUUUGUCUGAGCCUCCUUCUCCUUCACCUCCUCCUCCUCUAAUUAAAAUCUUGUCCCUUUCAUUCCUUCGCACACCUUUCUUCCACCUGUGAGAGCAAGGAGAGGGAGGGAGGAGAAGAAAAAGGAAGGAAGGAGAGAAGAAGAAGAAAGAUGAAAAAGCACACCACACCGAGCGAGUGGCGGAGCGUUGUGGAAUACGACGUCUAAGGGGAGGAUGAAGGCGCUUGUCACGUCUCAUCACACAAAAGCUUCAGUACUGUCUCCCCUCUGGCCCCACACCUUGGCCUCCUGGUGUGUGUGAGGUGAGGGCGACCUGGCACUGUGCCCCCCUGCUCUCCCCUUCCUCUCCCCCCGUGUGGUCAGCCUGUGUUUACAUCUGUCUGGCCUUGGAGCCUGGAACUUGGAACCAUGUGUCUGUGCAUCUCUACAUCACCAGGACACUGAAGCAGCAGCAGGACGUGCUGGGUGAAUACUGUACUCUACCUGAUGAAUUACAGCCUCACACGGCUGAGACGGUCCUGGUGUGUAACAAACAUGUCAAAUACAAAUGCCAUUUCCAGAAAAGAAGGGUGUUGAGGAGACCUGGACGGGGCGCUAUCCUAACCCAUCAUAACCCAGUAACAACCAUCAGGGAUGGGUGCAGUCUGCGCAGGGUGAGGCCCGGCUGGAUGUACAACAUGGUGGAUGUCAGGAUGUUUGAAUGACAGAUGUCAGCACGCUACGAUGUGAAAACAGCAGUUAAGUCUUUUACGUGUGAGGUCGCACCUUCUCCUUGCACUGAAGGUCCUGCGCACUGAAUAUUUGAGUGUUGGAUGAUUUUGAUCCACACUGAGCAAGGAUGGAAAUUGCUGAAAGGCGUCAGGUUAUUGUGAUUACUUCCCUGCCGUCUCUUUGGUCCAUUUAUCUCAGAGGUACUUGGCGGCAGAAUAGCGGUAAUGUAUUUUAAUGCAGCUUCUACAUGAUAAAAGUUGACUGGCUGCUGCUUGUGCCACAGUUCAGUAUUCAUCCCCCCACAUUUCGAUGUCUUCCUAUGCACCGCUGGGCCUCAUAACAUUAAACAUUCAGGAGUAACAAAUGAAAGAGUCUCUUAAAAGCUCUAACCAACAGGCUUUUACUAGCCUUCCAGGCUACAUUCAGAUAAAAAAAGGGAGAGAAGACAGAAGUGGUCUAGACAGCAGGAAAUCCAAACUCUGAAAGAAUACAGCUAAAGUGAAAUGUUUUCCCUUUUGGUGGACAGGACUGUAGUGUAUACCAUAUACAUACAUACACACACACAUAUAUAUAUAAUCUAUAUAUAUAUAUAGGGUUUAUUGCUUUAGAAAUUGAAUUGAUGCCACCAUGGAGAUGCAAUAUUCAGAUCUUCUGGGGGCUGCUGGAGCAAGGCUGGUCGACUGUAUGACAGGUGACUGAAGGAUGAAAAUGUUGCAGAGCUUUUGAUGAAUGGUAUCAUCAAAUACUUUACCUGUCCCUGACGCUUAGCAUCAUCUGCCGCGAUGUCAAGCAGCAGCAGCAGUGAUGAAUUUUGCCAGGGAGAUGUGGGAAAUAUGAAAGUCCUCGCUGGUUUAAGUUAAAAAAUCAAAUUAGUGAAAAAAAGACAUUAUCCAAAGAGCUGCCUUUCUUUCCAUCUGUCUUCGUCUGUUAGCACCUGGUGUCCUCUAGGUGUCACUAGAGAAGUUGAUUGACCAAACUUGAAUGGAACCAGACAAGUGGAGUGAGUUUUCCUGAAGAUGUUGUUUCUUUUAUUCUACAGAUGAAAAAACAUCUUCCAGUAAAGUCUGCAAGUGCAGUUGUCUAGAUUAAUUCUCCUGAGGAAACCAUGACCUGGAUGACUGAGAACCUACACAGAAUUAACCUGAGUGAGCAGAGCGUGAAAAGUAAAGCUGCAGCUUCUCCUGCGCUCUGACAGCCGCCGUCCUGUUGCUGUGGUGAUUUCCUCUCCCAGAGGAGACGUCCACGGCCUGUUUACAUCCUCGACUCCUACUUAUAAAUGUUUCGAGAGUUGGUCUGGAUUCCUGUCUACCUUGGACCUCAGCCUUUGGCCCAGGAUGGAUUUGGCUGAAUCUGCUCCCUUGGAUCAGUGGUACUAUUCCAGCAGAGCUGGUUUGAGCUUUUCACAGCCACCGACGCUGAGGACCUGGUUUCUCUCCUCCCUGACUUUUAACUUUAGUUUGACGUCGUAAGAACAGCUCCCAGUCAGAGACGCAAACAGACAGACUGAGGUGGAGAGAUGGAAGGUAAACAGAAGGUGAUCUCUCAGACGUAAAUAUGAAAGACAAGCAUCGACAUUAAUAUCAAUCCAGACUCCCAGAAGACCUUGCUGUCGUACCGGUGCAUUGGCACUGCUGAAGGUGGCCCCCCCUCCACUGAUCCUGGGUGUAUGUGGCCUAAGAUGGAGGGGCAUGUGGACUGUCCAGUGUAACCCCACCCUCUUCAAAGAUUGGACCCAGGGAUGAUAACAACACUAAGAAGGACUAGAAUUGGAACCACCUUAAUCCAUGUUUGGGUCCCAAACCACCCGUUGAGAAACACCAGAGAAAGACCUGAGGUGAUGCAAAAAUGGAAGGAGUGGUUUCGGAAACUGUGACGCAACGCUUUGUCAGCGCUGGGUGCAACACAGGGAGCUGGGAGAGUACUGCUGCUGCUGCCGCCGCUGCUGCUGGAGACACACAGGACACAGCAGAACAGGGGUGGUGCUGUACCUCUGAAUCCUCACUUCUGGCCUCGAGGUUGGCACACAUGGGUGUCCACGUGAUGACCACCGUGGUGACACCGGGUUUGACCGGUCUUGGCCCACACAGUGACACCAACUGUGCCAAUUUACCAUCAACUGGACGGUAAGCGGCAGCGACACAUGCGCUCACUGCCACCGAUGGAGACCAGAGGCAGCUGAUCAAGGCCAAGUCAAGUCCCUGUCAUCCCUGUCUGGACAAAGGUCCUGGUUAGUUGCCUUGGAAACUAGCAUAUGACUAUUAGGAGAGACACGCUGGUGAAAGCGCAAGGAAGCCUGCCUGGUAAAGGGUAACACAGGGUGCAGUGAGUGUUGGCUGCACCGCCAGGAGAGCAGAGGUCGGUCUAUCAGUGACACCGCAGCAGCCUCAUAAAAGGCAAUAGAGCAACUCUACAGGGCAUAAUUCGAUCACAACAGAGCCGUGGUGAAAACAGAGACGGAGCUUGGCAACUUAAAGGCAAAAGAAAGCAGAUGAAGGCGGUGCUACAGUAAAUGUUUGCUCAAUUUGUCAACCUGGGCAAUGGAAUGCAGCACCCCACAGGCAUGGAAUGGAAUUGCAGACAGUAGGGGUGGAGAACGUGCAUGUGUAGACACACACACACACACACACAGUCCCUCUUUGUGUGUGUGUGUUUGAAACGUUCGGAGCCAGCAGUGGAAAUGUCACAAGGUCGCUGGCAUGAUGGCGUAUUAAUUAGAUCCAUCUAACUCAGAGUGACAGCAGAUGAACAGGAGCUCUUCAUCUAUCAAUAUUCACAUCCCGAGAAGCAGAAGGAAAAUUCAACACAAGUGAAAAUUCAUUUAGAGUCUUUAUCAUCUCCAUCACAAAGCACAUGAUCCAUGAGUGGAAGAGGGAAAUCAAGGACUCUUUCUCGCUUUAAUCUGCUGAAACAAGUGCUUUGCCUGGCUCUGGCAUCCCUGUGUCUCAUUUUAAGAGGGCAGCGUUUUUGUUGCCUCACAUCCCCUCCGCCGCUCUGGGCAUGUACACAUUAUUAAGCUGCUCAGGCCUCUCACCAGCCUCAGACCUCCACCCCUCUACCUCCUCGCUGCCCUCCCGCCCAGGUCCCCAGAGAUAAUCAAGGUAUUACAAAUGAAAAGUCAGAGCCAUAAAUCAGGAACCUCCCUCCCUCUCCUCCUCUCCACAGGUACUUUCACCGUUCUCUCUUGCCUCGCUUUUCUUUGCUGUUUGCUACCAUUUUUGUCCAACCUGGACAAACAGUGGCACAGAGCGCCAGAAAAAAAGAAGAGUUAAAAAUGGAAGAGAUAGAAGGGAGAAAUGGGGAACUAAUUAGAAGAAGAGGGGGUGAGUAAUGUGGGAUUUCCACCAAAUGACGACAGCAGUUGCCCAAUGUCAUCCAUAAUACUCACAAACAUCCCUCUCUCUUGCUCUACAUAAAUACAUAAAUGUUCUCCCCACCAGGACAGUAGAACUGAUGAAGCUUCUUGGAUGAGAGGCGAAACGUCUUCAAUUUACUUGAAUCCUCUGGCAUUGAUGACACAGCGUCUGCUCCCGGCUCCUGCUGCUCCCUCUGCUCCCCUUCUGAAAUACACACAGACCGACUGAUUCCCUGGAAGUGCUGGUGACUGAGACGGGCGCCCUCCCUCCACCUUUUUUGAAAACGCCACAGCGGUCAGAAGCUGAGAAGAACUGGACGAGGACUGUGUCAUGUCUUCAGAUGUUCAUGACAUUAGAUGAAAAGUUGCUGCUGUUGUGUCAAAGUAAAGACAGGGGUGGGUGGGGAGCUGGCGGUGGAAGAAAGGGGGGCAAUAAGGCCAAUCCAGGUCUCAGACUUACUUUGCAGCAGCUAAUGAAAGAGGAAGGAGGGAAGGAGAGAAAAGGGGAAAGAAUAGACGGAGGGAGGGAUGGAGGAAGGGAGGUCUGUCUCCCCCCUCCCCAGCCUGUCAGUCAGUCACAGAGGGAGAGAACGACAGGCCACAAUGGGGCCCUUCAGUGCCUGGCUGAAAGUUGUAAUUUAGCAUGAAGAGCCAUCGAGGGGCGAGCCUAAAUAUAGCUGCACAUAUACAUUGUGUCUUGUAGAGAGAAUAGCAAUUAACAGCCAAUUAAAUGAAUGGCUGGGGUCAGCAGCAGCAGAAAACUAAUGGUGGGUGUGUUGCUGCGCUACCGGAUAAUCCAAAGAGACAAAAAGAGAGGCUGGGGAGCGGGGAGAGGGAGCGUUCCUCCAUGUUUUCUCUUUUCUUUUGAGCAAGGCAGCAUAAUGAGAUUUGAAAGGCUCCAAUUAUCUGUGUCACCUGAGCUUAUGUAUACAGUGAGUGGCUGCCAUGUCAAAGCACACCGAGGUAUAUAAUAACUAUAGUGUGCGUACAUGUCACCCUGCGUUCAUUCAUUCAACCGUUACUGUCUUUUCGUCCGUCUUGGUGGAUCGGGUCGGAAACGACGGGAAACAGUGUGUUUAAAGAGUUUGGGUGCAAAAAAGAAGGGGAAAGAACUGCAUCUAGUCACGCUGUGUGUGUCUGGGAUUUAUUCCCGUCACUCCCGUCCAGAUUUGACUGGCCAGUAGGUGACAGCCUUUCUAAGUCACAGCAGUAGCCGAACACAACAGAACAAGUCCCCCUCUAAUUGCCUUGCCUUUGAAAAGGCAACUCUUCGCUCCACAAAACAAGACGAGUCAUUAACGCGGUUCUGGCAGACACCGCCACCAACCCGCAGCAGCUGAUAACACCUUGUUCAGAGCCAGUGAUCAAGGCAGAAUCAUCUCCUCCUAACCCCCAUCUCCUCUGCAACUCCACCUGCGUAAUUGCUGCACCUAACCUUUUCAGUGCUGCCUCCGUUGGGAGUCAGCCAGCCAGCCCAAUUGGGUUUAAGGUAUUAAUAGAAUCUCAUUUCACGGCUCCAUCAGAUAAAACAAAGGUUGGGUUCUACCGGGCGAGUUUGAUCUUAUUAACGCAAGUGUUGAGAAGGUAAGGCUGCACUGUGAACUCAGGGAGGUGUGUUCAUGGCAGACAGGGCCAUGCUGGGGGUGUUGACAGAAUCAUUUUGGGGAAUGUUAAAAACUGUUAAAAAAUGUUUGAAAAACUACUAUACAAUGUCAGUUUUUACAGUUUUACAGUAGAACCGAAAGUACAGAAAGUGUCAGGACUGUUAGAAAGACCUCUUUUUUUACUUUAUUGGAUAUUUUUGUAUGUUUUGUUUCUCGUGAUCUGCAUUGUUUUGGUAUGAUUUUUAUGUUCGUUGUCCUUCUUGACGAAACCCUUCCCUUUCCAUUGGCCAUGUUGUACAACAAUUAUUAUAUUAUAUCUAUGAAAUGGUAUUUUAUUACAUGAACUAUUAUAUUAUUCCAUUUAUAUUUAUUAUGAUUAAGUUAUUUGUUAUAACAAUGAUAGGGUUGAGUUAGGGUUAUGUAUGGUAGUAAUUUGUUAUGGAUUUUGUUAUUUGUUCUCAUGUUAUUGUAAUAACAAUAAAUAACUGUGUUAUUUGUUAAUUAUUAAAAAUUUUAAUCAGAUUAAGCGUAAGUAAUUUUUUUACUUAUGAUUCUUUAUUAUCAUGAUUAAUCAAGAUCGUGUUGAUCUAGUGGCGGUAAAUGUUGACAGAACAUUGUGGGUUUUUUUUCUUUUUUUUUUCUUUUUCAGUGUGGUUUAGUGACUCCACUACAGUAUCUUCAUCACCGUGAGCUCUGUCCAUUGUCAUAUCCUGAAUGUCAACAGUUGGAGAUGACUUGCUAGAGUUCUUGACCUUUCGGCUCUGCCGUUAAAUUAAACUCGUUGUCUAAAUACAGCAUGAAACAUCUUCUGGGUUAGGGUAUUUUUCUUUCUUUCUUUUUUUUUUUUCUGUUGGUGGAGCUUCUUCCUAUUGACCUGCUUUAAUUAGAUCUAAAUUAGAGCCAGAUUUCUCAGUUUGUUACAGUGUCACAGAGAGUGGUUCCUGCUCAUAAAUCAUGUAUGAUUAGUCCAAGACCAGGACCACAGUUUGAAGGUGAGUUGGUUCCCUCAGGGAAUAUUUGAAUGUAUUACUUAUGUCAUUUUGUGUGUGUGUAUAUAUAUAUAUAUAUAUAUG
Molecule: long non-coding RNA, 7197 nt
Organism: Cynoglossus semilaevis (tongue sole)
Lineage: Eukaryota; Metazoa; Chordata; Actinopteri; Pleuronectiformes; Cynoglossidae
Exons: 20
Source: RefSeq, a predicted model, not a curated record